UGGUUCUUGUAUCCACACAGCAAGGUGAUUUCUAAAAGUGGUCUUCCAACUUACAUCCAGACAAAGAUAAAAGCCACUUAUCUCCUCUUCUUAUAAUUCAUCUCUGUUUCCAAGAUCAGUGCAAUGUCAAUUCUUUCCUUCCAAAUUAGCAAGUUUUCAAAAAGCGUUUGUGUGGACAAUUUCAAUGAAAUGAAUGUUAAGUGUUCUGCCAAAUAAAAAAAGAAUUUAGGAGAUGGUAAGGCCAAAUUCUAAGAAUGUAUCUCCUUUGUGACAAAAGAUGCUAGGUACAUUUGGUUAUCCUUGGUUCAAAUUCUAAAUCUGAAUAACAUCGCUGACAAGUUUUUGGAUGCAUUAUAUGAAACUCUUUUUAAACUCCUUGUCACAUCUUAUGACAGGUCUUAAAUAGCAGCCAAUCUCCACGAAGAAAAUACUGCACAAGGGUGUUGUCAGUGUCAGCUGGCCCAAAUGAUGAGUCUGAGAUUGGUAUGCCUGCCCAUGAAUCUGAGUGCCCUGUGGACUCAUUGCUUCCACUGUACCUCAGAAUGGUUGAGCUUCCUGAACAGAGGGAGAAAAAGCAAGUGGAUAAGGACAGAGUCAACGGAAGGACAAAUAGAUAUCUGCCCUCUAAUGACCCAGAGGCACUUCAAACUUUCUUGGCAGAAAAACAAUUUGUAUGAUUAAACAGAACUUACAAAUAAUGUCAAUGUGUCCUCUUGCCCUUGAAUAUAAGAACCAAAGCUAUGUUCAACCCUAAAAUUACUGUAAAUAACAUCAAUGAAUCUCAAAAGUUAUACUAAGUAAAAACAAAAGCCAGAUGAAAAUGACUGCAUACACACCCCAAGGUUACAUUUAUAUGUCAUCCUGGAAAAGGCAAAACUGCAAUGUCAGAAAACCAUUAUCGUUGACAGCCAAUGACCAGUAUAACUGGUGGAGAAGAUUGAGUGCAAAAGGACACAAAGACACUUUUUAAAGUGAUGGGAAUAUUAUGUAUCAUAAUUGUG
This 1001-nucleotide long non-coding RNA is filed under the name Fukomys damarensis (Damara mole-rat). RNAcentral describes it as "lncRNA (ENSFDAG00000025812.1)". The record is from RNAcentral. Lineage: Eukaryota; Metazoa; Chordata; Mammalia; Rodentia; Bathyergidae.